Molecule: ribosomal RNA, 1755 nt
Filed under: Salmonella enterica subsp. enterica serovar Indiana
Lineage: Bacteria; Pseudomonadati; Pseudomonadota; Gammaproteobacteria; Enterobacterales; Enterobacteriaceae
Description: partial 23S ribosomal RNA
Rfam family: Bacterial large subunit ribosomal RNA
Source: RNAcentral
UAACGGGGCUAAACCAUGCACCGAAGCUGCGGCAGCGAACGUAUCACCCAAGACAACUUUGCGGAGUUGACGAUUGACGGAGCGAAGCGACGUCAAAGCGUUCAUUAAAGUCGAGUUGGCUUAGGGAUACGUUCGUUGGGUAGGGGAGCGUUCUGUAAGCCUGUGAAGGUGUGCUGUGAGGCAUGCUGGAGGUAUCAGAAGUGCGAAUGCUGACAUAAGUAACGAUAAAGCGGGUGAAAAGCCCGCUCGCCGGAAGACCAAGGGUUCCUGUCCAACGUUAAUCGGGGCAGGGUGAGUCGACCCCUAAGGCGAGGCCGAAAGGCGUAGUCGAUGGGAAACGGGUUAAUAUUCCCGUACUUGGUGUUACUGCGAAGGGGGGACGGAGAAGGCUAUGUUGGCCGGGCGACGGUUGUCCCGGUUUAAGCGUGUAGGUGUGUGUUCCAGGUAAAUCCGGUUCACUUUAACANNNCUGAGGCGUGACGACGAGGCACUACGGUGCUGAAGCAACAAAUGCCCUGCUUCCAGGAAAAGCCUCUAAGCAUCAGGUAACAUCAAAUCGUACCCCAAACCGACACAGGUGGUCAGGUAGAGAAUACCAAGGCGCUUGAGAGAACUCGGGUGAAGGAACUAGGCAAAAUGGUGCCGUAACUUCGGGAGAAGGCACGCUGACAUGUAGGUGAAGUGAUUUACUCAUGGAGCUGAAGUCAGUCGAAGAUACCAGCUGGCUGCAACUGUUUAUUAAAAACACAGCACUGUGCAAACACGAAAGUGGACGUAUACGGUGUGACGCCUGCCCGGUGCCGGAAGGUUAAUUGAUGGGGUCAGCGCAAGCGAAGCUCCUGAUCGAAGCCCCGGUAAACGGCGGCCGUAACUAUAACGGUCCUAAGGUAGCGAAAUUCCUUGUCGGGUAAGUUCCGACCUGCACGAAUGGCGUAAUGAUGGCCAGGCUGUCUCCACCCGAGACUCAGUGAAAUUGAACUCGCUGUGAAGAUGCAGUGUACCCGCGGCAAGACGGAAAGACCCCGUGAACCUUUACUAUAGCUUGACACUGAACAUUGAGCCUUGAUGUGUAGGAUAGGUGGGAGGCUUUGAAGUGUGGACGCCAGUCUGCGUGGAGCCGACCUUGAAAUACCACCCUUUAAUGUUUGAUGUUCUAACGUGGACCCGUAAUCCGGGUUGCGGACAGUGUCUGGUGGGUAGUUUGACUGGGGCGGUCUCCUCCUAAAGAGUAACGGAGGAGCACGAAGGUUGGCUAAUCCUGGUCGGACAUCAGGAGGUUAGUGCAAUGGCAUAAGCCAGCUUGACUGCGAGCGUGACGGCGCGAGCAGGUGCGAAAGCAGGUCAUAGUGAUCCGGUGGUUCUGAAUGGAAGGGCCAUCGCUCAACGGAUAAAAGGUACUCCGGGGAUAACAGGCUGAUACCGCCCAAGAGUUCAUAUCGACGGCGGUGUUUGGCACCUCGAUGUCGGCUCAUCACAUCCUGGGGCUGAAGUAGGUCCCAAGGGUAUGGCUGUUCGCCAUUUAAAGUGGUACGCGAGCUGGGUUUAGAACGUCGUGAGACAGUUCGGUCCCUAUCUGCCGUGGGCGCUGGAGAACUGAGGGGGGCUGCUCCUAGUACGAGAGGACCGGAGUGGACGCAUCACUGGUGUUCGGGUUGUCAUGCCAAUGGCACUGCCCGGUAGCUAAAUGCGGAAGAGAUAAGUGCUGAAAGCAUCUAAGCACGAAACUUGCCCCGAGAUGAGUUCUCCCUGAGACUU